RNAcentral lists this long non-coding RNA (332 nucleotides) under Trifolium pratense (red clover). Its description in RNAcentral is "long non-coding RNA (TPRA_LNC012182)". Lineage: Eukaryota; Viridiplantae; Streptophyta; Magnoliopsida; Fabales; Fabaceae. The record is from RNAcentral.
AAAUCCGAAAAACGCGGAAUUAAAAAACACAAGGGAGAGAAAAUAGAUCUAUGAAGAACAUAGAUCUUGUAGAAACUCAUAUUUGAUCAAGAACACAAAAAUCAAAUGAAACCGAAAUCUAACAUAGGUCAUGAAUCGCUCAAAACCGAACACAUAAAUCAAACCAAAAUCUUUGUUUUUGUUGUUCUGUGUCUGCAAUUUCUUUUUUCCUCUUAGGCUUGCGUUUUUUAGUGGUUCACUGGUUUUGUUGUUGUUGUUGAUGAUGAAGUGCCACUGAUGAAGAUCUGACUCUUCAUCUUUUGAUAACGAUGAUGAUGUUGUUGCUGUUGUUG